GACGAACGCUGGCGGCGUGCUUAACACAUGCAAGUCGAACGGAAAGGCCCUGCUUUUGUGGGGUGCUCGAGUGGCGAACGGGUGAGUAACACGUGAGUAACCUGCCCUUGACUUUGGGAUAACUUCAGGAAACUGGGGCUAAUACCGGAUAGGAGCUCCUGCUGCAUGGUGGGGGUUGGAAAGUUUCGGCGGUUGGGGAUGGACUCGCGGCUUAUCAGCUUGUUGGUGGGGUAGUGGCUUACCAAGGCUUUGACGGGUAGCCGGCCUGAGAGGGUGACCGGCCACAUUGGGACUGAGAUACGGCCCAGACUCCUACGGGAGGCAGCAGUGGGGAAUAUUGCACAAUGGGCGGAAGCCUGAUGCAGCAACGCCGCGUGCGGGAUGACGGCCUUCGGGUUGUAAACCGCUUUCGCCUGUGACGAAGCGUGAGUGACGGUAAUGGGUAAAGAAGCACCGGCUAACUACGUGCCAGCAGCCGCGGUGAUACGUAGGGUGCGAGCGUUGUCCGGAUUUAUUGGGCGUAAAGGGCUCGUAGGUGGUUGAUCGCGUCGGAAGUGUAGUCUUGGGGCUUAACCCUGAGCGUGCUUUCGAUACGGGUUGACUUGAGGGAGGUAGGGGAGAAUGGAAUUCCUGGUGGAGCGGUGGAAUGCGCAGAUAUCAGGAGGAACACCAGUGGCGAAGGCGGUUCUCUGGGCCUUUCCUGACGCUGAGGAGCGAAAGCGUGGGGAGCGAACAGGCUUAGAUACCCUGGUAGUCCACGCUGUAAACGGUGGGUACUAGGUGUGGGGUCCAUUCCACGGGUUCCGUGCCGUAGCUAACGCUUUAAGUACCCCGCCUGGGGAGUACGGCCGCAAGGCUAAAACUCAAAGGAAUUGACGGGGCCCCGCACAAGCGGCGGAGCAUGCGGAUUAAUUCGAUGCAACGCGUAGAACCUUACCUGGGUUUGACAUGGAUCGGGAGUGCUCAGAGAUGGGUGUGCCUCUUUUGGGGUCGGUUCACAGGUGGUGCAUGGCUGUCGUCAGCUCGUGUCGUGAGAUGUUGGGUUAAGUCCCGCAACGAGCGCAACCCUUGUUCACUGUUGCCAGCACGUUAUGGUGGGGACUCAGUGGAGACCGCCGGGGUCAACUCGGAGGAAGGUGGGGAUGACGUCAAGUCAUCAUGCCCCUUAUGUCCAGGGCUUCACGCAUGCUACAAUGGCUGGUACAGAGAGUGGCGAGCCUGUGAGGGUGAGCGAAUCUCGGAAAGCCGGUCUCAGUUCGGAUUGGGGUCUGCAACUCGACCUCAUGAAGUCGGAGUCGCUAGUAAUCGCAGAUCAGCAACGCUGCGGUGAAUACGUUCCCGGG
Molecule: ribosomal RNA, 1343 nt
Filed under: uncultured bacterium
Lineage: Bacteria
Description: 16S ribosomal RNA
Rfam family: Bacterial small subunit ribosomal RNA
Source: RNAcentral